RNAcentral lists this ribosomal RNA (253 nucleotides) under uncultured archaeon. RNAcentral's name for it is "partial 16S ribosomal RNA". It matches the Rfam family "Archaeal small subunit ribosomal RNA", at positions 474 to 726 of the family's 1478-position model. The record is from RNAcentral.
UCCCGGCAGUCCAAGUCGCAGCCACAAUUAUUGGGUCUAAAAUAUCCGUAGCUUGCUUAAGAAGUUUCCUGUGAAAUCUUACAUCUUAAGUGUAAGGCGAGCAAGAAAUACUCUUGAGCUAGAGACUGGUAGGCGUAAGAAGUACAUUGAGGGUAGUGGUAAAAUAUUUUAAUCCUCGAUGGACUCACAGUCGCGAAGGCGUCUUACGAGAACAGUUCUGACAGUGAGGGAUGAAGGCUAGGGGCGCAAAAGG